GACGAACGCUGGCGGCGUGCUUAACACAUGCAAGUCGAACGGGCCUUGUCCCCUUUUUUUUUGGGGGUGGGGUUAGUGGCGAACGGGUGAGUAACACGUGAGUAACCUGCCCCUCACUUCUGGAUAACCGCUUGAAAGGGUGGCUAAUACGGGGUGUUCUGGCCUGCUCGCAUGGGUGGGUUUGGAAAGAUUCGACCGGUUUUGGUUGUUUUGGUGGGGGAUGGGCUCGCGGCCUAUCAGCUUGUUGGUGGGGUGGUGGCCUGCCAAGGCUUUGACGGGUGGCCGGCCUGAGAGGGUGGGCGGUCACACUGGGACUGAGACGCGGCCCAGACUCCUACGGGAGGCAGCAGUGGGGUAUAUUGCACAAUGGGCGCAAGCCUGAUGCAGCGACGCCGCGUGAGGGAUGGAGGCCUUCGGGUUGUGAACCUCUUUCGCCAGUGAAGAAGGUCCUGCUCUUUGUGGUGGGGUUGACGGUAGCUGGGUUAAUGAAGCGCCGGCUAACUACGUG
This 508-nucleotide ribosomal RNA is filed under the name uncultured bacterium. Its description in RNAcentral is "partial 16S ribosomal RNA". It matches the Rfam family "Bacterial small subunit ribosomal RNA", at positions 28 to 507 of the family's 1533-position model. The record is from RNAcentral.